RNAcentral lists this ribosomal RNA (466 nucleotides) under uncultured bacterium. RNAcentral describes it as "partial 16S ribosomal RNA". It matches the Rfam family "Bacterial small subunit ribosomal RNA", at positions 28 to 507 of the family's 1533-position model. The record is from RNAcentral.
GAUGAACGCUGGCGGCGUGCUUAACACAUGCAAGUCGAACGGAAAGGCCCUUGCUUGCAGGGGUACUCGAGUGGCGAACGGGUGAGUAACACGUGGGUGAUCUGCCCUGCACUUCGGGAUGAGCCUGGGAAACUGGGUCUAAUACCGGAUAGGACCAUCGUUUAGUGUCGGUGGUGGAAAGUUUUUUCGGUGUGGGAUGAGCUCGCGGCCUAUCAGCUUGUUGGUGGGGUAAUGGCCUACCAAGGCGUCGACGGGUAGCCGGCCUGAGAGGGUGUACGGCCACAUUGGGACUGAGAUACGGCCCAGACUCCUACGGGAGGCAGCAGUGGGGAAUAUUGCACAAUGGGCGCAAGCCUGAUGCAGCGACGCCGCGUGGGGGAUGACGGCCUUCGGGUUGUAAACUCCUUUCGUCAGGGACGAAGCGAAAGUGACGGUACCUGGAUAAGAAGCACCGGCUAACUACGUG